GACUCUUGCAAAUUCUAUCAAGGAUCCAAGUAUCAUUUCCGGAAAACCCGCCAAGGCAAUCUGCUUAUCAACAGAGAGAACGCGCUGCCCCGUAAGAACCUGCACGACACUCAUCUCAUGAGGUCAGGGAGCACAAGAGGCGGAAGAGCACUAGGAUGGUCCGAUCAUCAAGCAAGGGUCGGAUAAUGUCGGGUCGGAGAACACAUGAGCGUCAUGCUCCACAACCUAUUAGGCUUGCGAUCGAGCACAAUGACGAGGAGAUGGCGGAGCCACACCAAGCACCGGUCAUGCCUGCUGAGUACACUCAAGCAGAUAUAGAUGACUACAUCUCCAGGACAUUCUAAUGAGGUAACACACCAAAACCCUUUGUAAAUACCGCUUUUGUUUUUGUUUCUGUGUCUAUCUUGAAUUCUUUCACAAAUUUUGAUUACCCAAGGGACUCUGUAAUUUAAGUUUGGGGGAGGGUUCAAAACGUAUUUGACUUGUUUUUUGUAAAUAUCAUUUGAGUCUACAUAUCAUCUAAGUCAUAGAAAAAAACAAAAA
RNAcentral lists this small RNA (543 nucleotides) under Arabidopsis thaliana (thale cress). RNAcentral describes it as "ATSL267600". The record is from RNAcentral. Lineage: Eukaryota; Viridiplantae; Streptophyta; Magnoliopsida; Brassicales; Brassicaceae.